Daucus carota subsp. sativus is the source of this 148-nucleotide non-coding RNA. The record is from Rfam. Lineage: Eukaryota; Viridiplantae; Streptophyta; Magnoliopsida; Apiales; Apiaceae.
UCUGCAGGGAUAGUGUGUAUCGGCUGGUGCUAAAAUAAAAUGCGCCAAGCUCGAAAGAUUUCCCAUGCUAUAACAAAUUUCAGGGGAAGGUGGGCAGUUGUGUUUCAUUCAUCUCGUUGAUUCAACAACAAUCAUUUUCCCCAUAUGA